RNAcentral lists this ribosomal RNA (766 nucleotides) under Microbacterium sp. Pd-S-(l)-l-D-6(16). RNAcentral's name for it is "bacterial SSU rRNA". It matches the Rfam family "Bacterial small subunit ribosomal RNA", at positions 81 to 859 of the family's 1533-position model. Lineage: Bacteria; Bacillati; Actinomycetota; Actinomycetes; Micrococcales; Microbacteriaceae. The record is from RNAcentral.
UGCUUGGUGGAUCAGUGGCGAACGGGUGAGUAACACGUGAGCAACCUGCCCUGGACUCUGGGAUAAGCGCUGGAAACGGCGUCUAAUACUGGAUAUGAGACGUGAUCGCAUGGUCGUGUUUGGAAAGAUUUUUCGGUCUGGGAUGGGCUCGCGGCCUAUCAGCUUGUUGGUGAGGUAAUGGCUCACCAAGGCGUCGACGGGUAGCCGGCCUGAGAGGGUGACCGGCCACACUGGGACUGAGACACGGCCCAGACUCCUACGGGAGGCAGCAGUGGGGAAUAUUGCACAAUGGGCGGAAGCCUGAUGCAGCAACGCCGCGUGAGGGAUGACGGCCUUCGGGUUGUAAACCUCUUUUAGCAGGGAAGAAGCGAAAGUGACGGUACCUGCAGAAAAAGCGCCGGCUAACUACGUGCCAGCAGCCGCGGUAAUACGUAGGGCGCAAGCGUUAUCCGGAAUUAUUGGGCGUAAAGAGCUCGUAGGCGGUUUGUCGCGUCUGCUGUGAAAUCCCGAGGCUCAACCUCGGGCCUGCAGUGGGUACGGGCAGACUAGAGUGCGGUAGGGGAGAUUGGAAUUCCUGGUGUAGCGGUGGAAUGCGCAGAUAUCAGGAGGAACACCGAUGGCGAAGGCAGAUCUCUGGGCCGUAACUGACGCUGAGGAGCGAAAGGGUGGGGAGCAAACAGGCUUAGAUACCCUGGUAGUCCACCCCGUAAACGUUGGGAACUAGUUGUGGGGACCAUUCCACGGUUUCCGUGACGCAGCUAACGCA